GAUCCUGGCUUAGGAUGAACGCUAGCGGCAGGCUUAACACAUGCAAGUCGAGGGGCAUCGGGAGUAGCAAUACUGCCGGCGACCGGCGCAAGGGUGCGUAACGCGUGAGCAACAUGCCCGUAUCAGGGGGAUAAUCCAUGGAAACGUGGUCUAAUACCCCAUAGUAAUUAUGUAAGGCAUCUUAUAUAAUUUAAAGCUUUGGUGGAUACGGAUUGGCUCGCGUGACAUUAGCUAGAUGGUAAGGUAACGGCUUACCAUGGCUACGAUGUCUAGGGGUUCUGAGAGGAAGGCCCCCCACACUGGAACUGAGACACGGUCCAGACUCCUACGGGAGGCAGCAGUGAGGAAUAUUGGACAAUGGAUGGAAAUCUGAUCCAGCCAUGCCGCGUGCAAGGAAGACGGCCCUAUGGGUUGUAAACUGCUUUUGUAUGGGAGCAAUAAGGGCUACGCGUAGUCCGAUGAGAGUACCAUACGAAUAAGCACCGGCUAACUCCGUGCCAGCCGCGGC
RNAcentral lists this ribosomal RNA (508 nucleotides) under uncultured bacterium. RNAcentral describes it as "bacterial SSU rRNA". It matches the Rfam family "Bacterial small subunit ribosomal RNA", at positions 15 to 518 of the family's 1533-position model. The record is from RNAcentral.